AGGUAAGUUACAGUUGCAGCUGUAUCGUAGGUACCUUAGCAGUGAGCAGCAGGCUACAGAAGGUGAACACGGCAGGCAUCAUGUAAAGAUAAGUCAGGUGCAGUAAGCUGUAGGUACCUUAGCAGUGAGCAGCAGGCUACAGAAGGUGAACACGGCAGGCAUCUUGAUGAUGGAGACCAGCAGUUUGUAUGUUUCCACGACGCUCUGCGUCUCCUCCCGGACCUUCUUCUUCCCGUGCUGUCCCCUGGCGUUCUCCUUCUUCAUAAUGGCCACCAGCGUGGUCGACACCAGGAACACCACACCCCAGAAAAACAGGAAGUCUGCGC
Non-coding RNA from Salmo salar (Atlantic salmon), 326 nucleotides. NCBI's taxonomy places the organism in Eukaryota, Metazoa, Chordata, Actinopteri, Salmoniformes, Salmonidae. The record is from RefSeq and is a predicted model, not a curated record.